Molecule: long non-coding RNA, 1637 nt
Filed under: Theobroma cacao (cacao)
Lineage: Eukaryota; Viridiplantae; Streptophyta; Magnoliopsida; Malvales; Malvaceae
Description: long non-coding RNA (TCAC_LNC003053)
Source: RNAcentral
UCAUCACCUUUCAACUCAUUUCAACCAAACAAAAUCAAUUCAUAUAAAUCGAGUAAUCAACAUCGCUUAUGAAUUUCUUAAAAGCUUUGGCUCGUGCCAAAAUCAUUCUCAUACUCAGUUAUCAAGGAUACCUUGGCCGAGGGCUAUUCCAACCGAGUCCGCCAAGGCUAUUAAAAAGUUAUAUAUGCAUAAAUCAUGUUUUUAUUUUGAAAACAUAGUCGUUUCUUAGAGUUGGUUGAGUUCACCCUCAUGUAGUGGUUUGGCGUGAAGUGAACUCUAAAGUGUUAACCUUAGGAGUUAUCCAUCCCCGCCUCUCAUACUAAGGUAUGAAUAUAAUAGGGUUACCGUGCCCCCUCUAGUAGGCUGGUCCACGGAAGCCGUCCACUGCAGCGACUAAUCAAUAACCCACCAAUUCAAUAAAAUUCAACAACAUGACAUGGCAAUUUUAUCAUUAUCCAGCCUAUCAAGGCAAACAACAGUUUAUACAUUUUCAACACAAAUACCAAUUCAACCAUUCAUGCCAAUAUUAUCAUAAGCCAUUCAAUUCAAACCAUGAUUUAUAACACAACAAUUAGUCUGCAAUUACUCCAUUUUCAAAACCAUCAUUCAAUUUCAAGACAAUUUUAUAAAAUCAUUUCAUUUAAACACAUUUUGUUUAUAAAACAUAAAGAUUUACUAUUUAAACUCAUUUUCCAUAAAAUCACAAAAUCGGAUAAAAACCACUUUAGAUAAUUAAGACGAUAGUAAGGUUACUCACUAUUUCGGGAGUCAAAUUCCGAGCACUCCGAUUCUUGAUCCUCGGGUACUAUCUCUUUACUUUUGCCAGAAUGCUCACCACCUAGACAUAAUGCACAAUAAGCUAUUUACUACAUUUGUGCUAAAUUGUUAUAAAACCAAUUCAAGCUUUAUACUAAUGCAUGAAAUGGGAUGUGAAAUACUUAGGUAAUUAUCUAAAUACGAUGUUCAAUAUAAAUUCAAUUAUGUACCUAAAUAAAACGGUAUUAGCCUAAUUCGAUCUAUCACCCGAUUAAUUGGCUAAUACGUCCAAUUCAACUCCAAAUAAUUCCAUUUUUCUCCCAAUACUCCAAAUCACCAAACACAAAUUAAAUAACUUGAAAUAUAGCAAAAUCAUCUUCACAUUUUCUCUUGGAAAAUUCGACCAUCGUGAGUGCAUCAACACUAUAAUUUUUCAAGCUUGAUUCUCUCACCAUAAAUCACUAAUUCCUAACCAAAUCACUUGAAAUAAAAUCAAAAUCAUCCUCAAUAUUCCACAUGGAGAAUUCAGCCAAUGAUGGGUGAAGGAAGAACAUGAAUUUUUCUUGCUUGAUUUUCAUACUACACAUCACCAAUCAACUAAAAACACUAAAAUACAUUGAAAUCUAACCAAAUCAAGCAUCAAAACCUCUCUCUAAGUGUUCAGCUAGCAAGAUACCUAUCAUGAAAUCAUGUGAUUCAACCAUGGAAAAUGCAAAAGAAUGUAUGGGAAAGGUAGAUCACAAGUCAAAAUCAAGAAAUUUUACCUUUGAUUGCUUGAUUACUUGAAUUUCACCAAUUUUCUCUUGAAUUUUCACCCUAGGGUUCUUGUUCUUUCUUUUCUUCCUUUGUUCUUGCUUUGGCCGGCCAUAUGAAGAGAAAUG